This 329-nucleotide unclassified non-coding RNA is filed under the name soil metagenome. Its description in RNAcentral is "partial contains 5.8S ribosomal RNA, internal transcribed spacer 2, and large subunit ribosomal RNA". The stretch from base 1 to 120 matches the Rfam family "5.8S ribosomal RNA", at positions 35 to 154 of the family's 154-position model. The record is from RNAcentral.
GAUGAAGAACGUAGCGAAAUGCGAUAAGUAGUGUGAAUUGCAGAAUUCAGUGAAUCAUCGAAUCUUUGAACGCACAUUGCGCCCCUUGGUAUCCCGAGGGGCAUGUCUGUUCGAGCGUCAUUUCACCACUCAAGCCUGGCUUGGUGUUGGGCGACGUCCCCUUUAGGGACGCGCCUCGAAACGCUCGGCGGCGUGGCACCGGCUUUAAGCGUAGCAGAAUCUUUCGCUUUGGAAGUCGGGGCCCCGCCUGCCGGAAUACCUACUCGUAAGGUUGACCUCGGAUCAGGCAGGGAUACCCGCUGAACUUAAGCAUAUCAAUAAGCGGAGGA